GGUCAUGAGCGCCAGCGUCAAGCCCCGGCUUGCUGGCCGGCAACCCUCCAACCGCGGUGGGGUGCCCCGGGUGAUGACCAGGUUGAGCAGCCGUUGCGGCUGUAAGGCAAGCGCGGGUC
This 119-nucleotide non-coding RNA is filed under the name Mycolicibacterium wolinskyi. RNAcentral's name for it is "Mycobacterium wolinskyi SAM-IV sequence". It matches the Rfam family "SAM (S-adenosyl methionine) riboswitch aptamer". Rfam says of the family: SAM-IV is a mRNA element that regulates gene expression via direct sensing of S-adenosylmethionine (SAM or AdoMet). SAM-IV riboswitches share conserved nucleotide positions with the previously described SAM-I riboswitches sequence analysis and molecular recognition experiments suggest that SAM-I and SAM-IV riboswitches share similar ligand binding sites, but have different scaffolds. The record is from Rfam by way of RNAcentral. Lineage: Bacteria; Bacillati; Actinomycetota; Actinomycetes; Mycobacteriales; Mycobacteriaceae.